Molecule: ribosomal RNA, 253 nt
Filed under: uncultured bacterium
Lineage: Bacteria
Description: partial 16S ribosomal RNA
Rfam family: Bacterial small subunit ribosomal RNA
Source: RNAcentral
UACAGAGGUCUCAACCGUUGUUCGGAUUCAUUGGGCGUAAAGGGUGCGUAGGCGGUCGUGCAAGUCGGAUGUGAAAUCUCAGGGCUCAACCCUGAAACUGCAUUCGAUACUGCGUGGCUAGAGUGCUGGAGAGGAGACUGGAAUUUACGGUGUAGCAGUGAAAUGCGUAGAUAUUGGGAAGAACACCGGUGGCGAAGGCGGCGACCUGGUCCGAUACUGACGCUGAGGCGCGAAAGCGUGGGGAGCAAACAGG